UGACGAGUGGCGGACGGGUGAGUAAUGCUUGGGAAUCUGGCUUAUGGAGGGGGAUAACUACUGGAAACGGUAGCUAAUACCGCAUAAGGUCUAAGGACAAAAGGGGGCGUAAGCUCUUGCCAUAAGAUGAGCCCAAGUGGGAUUAGGUAGUUGGUGAGGUAAUGGCUCACCAAGCCUGCGAUCUCUAGCUGGUCUGAGAGGAUGACCAGCCACACCGGGACUGAGACACGGCCCGGACUCCUACGGGAGGCAGCAGUGGGGAAUAUUGCGCAAUGGGGGGAACCCUGACGCAGCCAUGCCGCGUGAAUGAAGAAGGCCUUCGGGUUGUAAAGUUCUUUCGGUGAUGAGGAAGGUGAUAAGGUUAAUACCCUUAUUAAUUGACGUUAGUCACAGAAGAAGCACCGGCUAACUCCGUGCCAGCAGCCGCGGUAAUACGGAGGGUGCGAGCGUUAAUCGGAAUAACUGGGCGUAAAGGGCACGCAGGCGGAUUUUUAAGUGAGGUGUGAAAGCCCCGGGCUUAACCUGGGAAUAGCAUUUCAGACUGGGAAUCUAGAGUACUUUAGGGAGGGGUAGAAUUCCACGUGUAGCGGUGAAAUGCGUAGAGAUGUGGAGGAAUACCGAAG
This 623-nucleotide ribosomal RNA is filed under the name Pasteurellaceae bacterium CR4. Its description in RNAcentral is "bacterial SSU rRNA". It matches the Rfam family "Bacterial small subunit ribosomal RNA", at positions 89 to 714 of the family's 1533-position model. The record is from RNAcentral. Lineage: Bacteria; Pseudomonadati; Pseudomonadota; Gammaproteobacteria; Pasteurellales; Pasteurellaceae.